RNAcentral lists this ribosomal RNA (327 nucleotides) under uncultured bacterium. RNAcentral describes it as "bacterial SSU rRNA". It matches the Rfam family "Bacterial small subunit ribosomal RNA", at positions 8 to 334 of the family's 1533-position model. The record is from RNAcentral.
AGGGUUUGAUCAUGGCUCAGGACGAACGCUGGCGGCGUGCCUAACACAUGCAAGUCGAGCGAUGAAGUUCCUUCGGGAACGGAUUAGCGGCGGACGGGUGAGUAACACGUGGGCAACCUGCCUUAUAGAGGGGAAUAGCCUUCCGAAAGGAAGAUUAAUACCGCAUAAGAUUGUAGCUUCGCAUGAAGCAGCAAUUAAAGGAGCAAUCCGCUAUAAGAUGGGCCCGCGGCGCAUUAGCUAGUUGGUGAGGUAACGGCUCACCAAGGCGACGAUGCGUAGCCGACCUGAGAGGGUGAUCGGCCACAUUGGGACUGAGACACGGCCCAG